Aquila chrysaetos chrysaetos is the source of this 2692-nucleotide long non-coding RNA. RefSeq lists it as uncharacterized. The record is from RefSeq and is a predicted model, not a curated record. The transcript is spliced from 3 exons. Lineage: Eukaryota; Metazoa; Chordata; Aves; Accipitriformes; Accipitridae.
CCGCCGCCGCCAUCCGAGCCGUGCGCCGGGGGGGGGGGGGCGGGGCGGGGCGGAGCGGAGCGGGGCGGAGAGGACGGCGGCCCCAGGAAAACGUCUGUUCAAAGAGGCAAACUUAUGAAUCGCAUCAGCAACAGAGUAUUUGGUCUGUCCAGAUACACAAGCCUCCAUAUCUUCCGGGCUUAGCUGAGUCUGUAAGAAGAGGUGAAGCCUACUGUCUGAAAGCAAUAAUGCGUCUUGUAGGAUCCUGGAACAAGAAAAAAAGUUAGAUGUUUUUAUAUAGAUGCACAUGCACACAUAUUUUCACCAGAACAAAUUCUAAAUGAUGUCCUGCUUUUAAGUUUUCAGAUGAAUCCUAAAUCAGUAACAGAAGUGCCAUCUGGAGGUGAAAGGAGUGAAGAGAAACCCAGGCGAAGAAACGGAAAGAUGUUCAUAAAGCUAAUCACACACAUACAGAUACAUAGAUAGAUGUAUAUGUGCAUAUAUAUGUUCACAAGGGGGUAGGGACCAAACACUCAAUGCAUUUUGCAAACCACUUAAAACCAUCCUGAAAGCAAAUACAUGAACACCUUUCACCCAGUCAUACCCUCGAAGCAUUUUUUUCUUUCUUUUAAUUAAAAAAUAACUUCUGCUUCCCCCUUCCCCCCCAUCUGAACCAACAGGUUAGAUUGCUUUUUAACUGCAUCCUUCAAGCAAUCAAAAUGAAAAAUAAAUUCUGUGCUAUCCGUAAGCAUUAUGCCUUCCUGUUCAAAAUACUCCUUCUUCAAGGAAAUAACCAUACAUUCAUUUGUCACCAGAUGUUACUAGUAGUAGUAAGUGCUGGUAUAGCAGUUGCUCUCCAGGGCUUUUGCUGUCCUGGGGACUCACUAUAUGAAGGGUGGUACAUCUAAAAAAAUAGAUUUGGCUCCAAGGACUUUAAAAAUCAAAAUUACAAAACACCACCUAACAAAUUAAAAACGCAAGAGGAAAGGCAGAGUGUCAUAAUAUUAAUACUUGGAUGUCUUAGCAGAGGCUGAACGCGUGAGCAGUUUGAACACAACCAGUAGCACUCCCAGUGCUUCUCAAACAGUUUUAUUACAGCCAGUGUCAAUGCAAAGCUGCGGUUACAGCGAUGUAAAUCAGCUCUCGCUGCUGUUGCGCUAAUGGAAGAGUCACGGCUCACAGUGAUAAUUCCUAUAAACUGACUGAGCAUACUUAAGAGAACAACAGACUUUCUAUGCACGCCUGGAAUAAGAAGGAAAGGCUAAAUCCUGCAAGUCUUGAUCCCAUCAGUAGUCAUUACUUGUCAGAGAUCUCACUCCUCUCGGCCAGAUUGCUCACGUGCAUAAUGACUACUUAUGUGAUUAAGGGGGCUGCAGGAUAAGGCUCUACAUUUGAAUUAGAGAUAAUAAAAUCAUUUUUUAUUCACAGCCAUGCAAAUCUUUGUUUGUAAGCUUUCAGUAAACGCUCAUGAUCUCUAGACCUUUAAAGAAGCAGGGCCGAAAAACGUCACUUCGCAACCAGGAGAAAUAACGUCCUUUUUGAAUGAAAUGCUGGAUACUACACGAGGAGUAUUUUUCCUUCCCGUGUUACAGCAAGAACAUUUACAAAAGACAAAACAUGUGUUUUGUCUUAUUUGGACAAGGUCCAAAAUCUGGUUUUCUUCAACAUGAUUUUAUUAGGUAUAUUAUACACUGUUCUGCUGCAGGAGAACAACAUAUGGCUGAACAGUACAACUUAAUCCUAACUAAAGAUUUCCUGUAUCUACUGUAACCUAAUACAAUGACAGAUGCACACUUGCAUGUGUGUGGAAGGUUAACACUCUGAUUUUGUUUUCGACAAAUUUAUUCUGCCCGUUUACAUCAUACCAUGAGAGCAAGGAAAGGAAAAAAUAAAUAAAUAAAUAAAAGAGGAGUUGAGAGGCGGGGGAUGAUGACAGCCAGUGCUGUGGUGCCCUCUAUUGAGCAUCCAGCCCUGAGCCCCAGCCCACAGCAAACAAAGAAAGCCCCAGUUUCCUCUUAAAAAAAGCCGACUGUUUCCUCCUUCAUUUUUUAUAAGGGAGGAAAUGUUACUGAUAGCGAGCAACUGUGAAGCAACUGUUGGGCAUCUGAUAAUGCAUACGUUUAGGAAAGGAUCAAGUGACACGCACCUGCUAGGCAUUAUUCACUUUACUCACCAGAUAGGAAAUAUUAGCAAGGCUCCAUUGGAAGGAGGCUGCCACCACUCACCCGAGGAGAUCCCACCUGCCCCACGGCCACCGAUGCUCCCGCCUGAGCCCCGGCAAGCUGGCAUCCAUCGCUUUUGGAGCCAGACUCCCACUUUCCACAUCCCUGGGGAAGCGCCUGGUGGAGACACCUCUGACCCUGCACCAGCUCCUGCUUGUGGGACUGCCGUGGGGAAGGUAAGGAGGUGUGAGGAGGAGGGCAAAACCCCAGUCACCUCCAGAGAAUGGCUCUGCCUUAGGCAGCCGAGUUUUGGGUGGCUUGCUCGCUCCAGCACCAAGUGAGCCUAAUGCACAGCCACCUGGAGCAGCAACACUGUGGAUGUCCUUCGACUCCUGUGGAUCCGAGUGCUGCCUUUCUCAGAACUCCUAGUAUGUCUUCCACCUCAUCAUAAACUGCAUGUCUGAAAACCAACUGAAGACUAAUCCUUUUUCCUAAACCACGUAAUUUUGGGGGAUCCAACUGUAUUCAAUAAAAAAAUGUCAGUGAUUGAA